Molecule: long non-coding RNA, 1132 nt
Filed under: Nicotiana benthamiana
Lineage: Eukaryota; Viridiplantae; Streptophyta; Magnoliopsida; Solanales; Solanaceae
Description: long non-coding RNA (NBEN_LNC015871)
Source: RNAcentral
AGAGAGAUCUCUCGUUUCUUUCUCUUUCUCUCACUGUAUCUCUCAUCAUUUUUACCUUCAAUCUGUAUGUUUUCAUGGUAUCAGAGCGGCAUGAUCCUCGAAUUCUUCUCUGUUACUUGUUAUCGAUCAUGUCGGAAGUUCUAUUGCAGGUUUUUCUCUGGAUAUUUGUGAGAGAUUCCGUUUACCGAGAGAACGGGAUGACCCUCGAAUUCUUCUCCGUUACUUGUUAUCGAUCAUAUCGGAAGUUCUAUUGAAGGUUUUUCUCUAGAUAUUUGUGAGAGAUUCAGUUUACCGAGAGAUCAAUGUGUAUUGAACAGAUAAUCGGAACUUUUACUGCUAUUUGAUAGUUCGAUCUUCACUCAGUGGAUGUUUUGGGUGAUUAUCCGACAUCCCUGACCUUAUUCCCGUAAUUUUCCAGAUUCUAGGUUUCCGGUGUUCGGACCUAGGGUUUUACUGCUAUCCGAUGGCUCGAUCCUCACUCGGUGGAUGUUUUGGGUGAUUUUCCGACGUCCCUGACCCUAUUCCGGUAAGUUUCCAGACCCUAUGGUUUCCGGUGGUCUGACCUAGGUUUUUUAUCUGACGAUUGAAGGCCGUUCUUCUCCGGUCGUGAAGAAGGAGGGUAACUCUAUCCUUGUUCUAAGUGUUGUAUAUUUUGCAUGUGGGUUCUGAUUCAACUUUAGCCUGUUUACCAAGACUGUUUUUCAUUUCAAACUGGUUAUUGUUCAUGACUUCUAAUAUGAAUGUUAAUACCUUCUCCGUGGACUCUACCAGCCCCCUUUUUAUUUACUCAUCUGAUGUUCCUGGAGUUUCUCUUGUGUCCACUCCCUUCUCGGGAAGUGGUUAUGGGGGUUGGAGGAGGAAAAUGAUUGUCGCGCUGUCUGCUAAAAAUAAAAUUGGCUUUGUUGAUGGCACAUGUCCUCGGCCAGUCACUAAUGUGGCUGAGCAAAGGUUGUGGGACAUAUGCAAUAAUAUGGUAAUCUCUUGGUUAACUGCCUCCAUGUCCCCUCAAAUUGCUGAAAGUGUGCAGUAUUCUGAUACUGCACAGAGUAUAUGGUCCCAGCUUCAGGCCAGAUAUGGCACUGCCAACAGGACCAAAAUUUUUGAACUAAAAAGAGAGCUUUCUCACACUUCU